GUCGCGUUCGUCUAGCGGAGAGGGUACCGGGCCUUCAACCCGGGGACGCGGGUUCGAGCCCCGCACGCGAUACCA
Molecule: transfer RNA, 75 nt
Filed under: Burkholderiales bacterium
Lineage: Bacteria; Pseudomonadati; Pseudomonadota; Betaproteobacteria; Burkholderiales
Description: tRNA-Glu
Rfam family: tRNA
About the family: Transfer RNA (tRNA) molecules are approximately 80 nucleotides in length.
Source: RNAcentral